RNAcentral lists this ribosomal RNA (253 nucleotides) under uncultured bacterium. Its description in RNAcentral is "partial 16S ribosomal RNA". It matches the Rfam family "Bacterial small subunit ribosomal RNA", at positions 524 to 776 of the family's 1533-position model. The record is from RNAcentral.
UACGAAGGGGGCUAGCGUUGCUCGGAAUCACUGGGCGUAAAGCGCACGUAGGCGGAUUGCUAAGUCAGGGGUGAAAUCCUGGAGCUCAACUCCAGAACUGCCUUUGAUACUGGCGAUCUUGAGUCCGGGAGAGGUGAGUGGAACUGCGAGUGUAGAGGUGAAAUUCGUAGAUAUCGUAAGGAAGACCAGUGGCGAAGGCGGGUCUCUGGACAGUUCCUGACGCUGAGGCACGAAGGUCAGGGGAGCAAACGGG